Molecule: ribosomal RNA, 429 nt
Filed under: Gemmatimonadota bacterium
Lineage: Bacteria; Pseudomonadati; Gemmatimonadota
Description: Gemmatimonadetes bacterium partial 16S ribosomal RNA
Rfam family: Bacterial small subunit ribosomal RNA
Source: RNAcentral
UAGGGAAUCUUCGGCAAUGGACGAAAGUCUGACCGAGCAACGCCGCGUGAGUGAAGAAGGCUUUCGGAUCGUAAAACUCUGUUGUUAGAGAAGAACAAGGACGUUAGUAACUGAACGUCCCCUGACGGUAUCUAACCAGAAAGCCACGGCUAACUACGUGCCAGCAGCCGCGGUAAUACGUAGGUGGCAAGCGUUGUCCGGAUUUAUUGGGCGUAAAGCGAGCGCAGGCGGUUUCUUAAGUCUGAUGUGAAAGCCCCCGGCUCAACCGGGGAGGGUCAUUGGAAGCUGGGAGACUUGAGUGCAGAAGAGGAGAGUGGAAUUCCAUGUGUAGCGGUGAAAUGCGUAGAUAUAUGGAGGAACACCAGUGGCGAAGGCGGCUCUCUGGUCUGUAACUGACGCUGAGGCUCGAAAGCGUGGGGAGCAAACAGG